This 151-nucleotide small nucleolar RNA is filed under the name Hucho hucho (huchen). Lineage: Eukaryota; Metazoa; Chordata; Actinopteri; Salmoniformes; Salmonidae. The record is from RNAcentral.
CUUCAGUGAUGAUACAAUGACGAGUCGGAACGGGGCACCGUCUGUCUCGGGGGGUGGGGGUCACUGAGUCAGGGUCACGUUUUGGGUCUCUGGGUUCAGUUCCCCAAGAGCAGUGUCUUCAGUUGAAGACAGAGACAUUUGUUUAAGAAGA